CUUGAUUAUUAACUUGUAAUACAUCCCUUAUGCAAGCUCAUUUGAAGCAUUUAAACUCCUUUUUAAUAUCAGAAUGUGUGUUUGAGUACGUGUGUAAAUAAAAUAACUGAUUAAUUAUCCUUAUGGGGAAUUAUGACAGGUCGAAAAGGUAAAACAAGAUGAUGCCCUCUCAGAUUUAAGUGAUAUUUUGGGAGAGCUGAAGGUUAUGGCUAUCGACAUGGGUUCUGAAAUUGAGUGGUGAGUUAUACUACUCCUUGUAAACUUCCGACUCUCCCCCCUCUCUCAUGUAGUAUUGAAUUCUAAAAUCCGAAGUAUUUACAAGAUAUGUCUUCUAACAUUGCAGGCAGAAGAAAGCGCUGGAUCCACUUCACGACGAUGUGGAGGAACUGGUUUUCCGAGUGAAUGGUGCUAAUCAGCGUGGGCGUCGUUUGCUUGGAAAAUAGAUAACACAAAUUUUAUAAAUCUGCGGUUUGUCAUUGGCUUAAUGAGACACUAUUGUCUGCAUUGAUUAUUUUCAUGCGUACAACUUUCUUAUAUUCGCUGUGUACACAUUGCUUGCGUGAUAUCUGGAGUAAAAUAAGUGGUACUAUAAUUUUCGGAAUAUACUGGAUUUACCUGGCUAGUAUGGAUUGAUUGCUAAUAAUUGUCGUUCAUAUGGUUUCUUCUGUGAGAGUGGAUUCUUUAGUGCAGUAUCAUCAUCAUCAAGAUCCAAACAUAUUCAGUGGAUAUAUGUUACGUUUUUCUUACUUUUAAGUAAAAAGAAUUGCUUAGUUUGGAAGCAAUUGACUCAGCAAGUUCUGGCUCAAAGAAGACUUUAACAAAUGUGAACUAGCAGCCAAAACCAAGCCAUUGUGAUCUUAGAUAAUGUCCCCUAGCCCGAUAAAACCACCAUCAGCUUGUACUGCACCAUCAAUAUUUAAUUCUGAAUAAUGCUAAUUGGUACUUGUAGUGUUAAAGUACUGAUUCAAAUGGUCAUACUAGAUAUGUUUAAUUAAAUGAAUCACGAG
Molecule: long non-coding RNA, 1007 nt
Filed under: Olea europaea subsp. europaea
Lineage: Eukaryota; Viridiplantae; Streptophyta; Magnoliopsida; Lamiales; Oleaceae
Source: RNAcentral